Mustela lutreola (European mink) is the source of this 2721-nucleotide long non-coding RNA. RefSeq lists it as uncharacterized. The record is from RefSeq and is a predicted model, not a curated record. NCBI's taxonomy places the organism in Eukaryota, Metazoa, Chordata, Mammalia, Carnivora, Mustelidae. The transcript is spliced from 13 exons.
CAGAGAGCCAGAUGUGGGGCUCAAUUCCAGGACCCUGAGAUCAUGACCUGCGCCAAAGGCAGAGGCUUAACCCACUGAGCCACCCAGGCGCCCCUCAGCUACUUUUUACACCCGAAAAGUUUAGAGCUAAGAGUGUGCUGAGGGAGAGUGACCACGUGCAAGCAGGGGAGGAGGAGGAGCAGAGGGAGAGGGAGAAUCUUAAUUUAAGCAUGAAGCCCAACACAGAACUUGAUUUCAUGACCUUGAGAUCAUGAGCUGAACUGAAAUCAAGAAUUGGACACUUAGCCAACUGAGCCACUCAGACAUCUUCCUACUACUCUACUGCUAAAGAAUUAAAUUUAAUGAAGUGCUACAGGUGAAAUUCUUACCACUAUUGUUAACAAAUUGGUGUCAUAUCCAAAAAUUCGUUACCAAGACUCAUGCCAGGAGCCUUAUUCCAGUGUUUUCUUCUAAGAAUUUCAUGGUCUCAGGUCUUCACAUGGUCCAUCGUACAUAAUAACGAAUAGGAAUCACAAGUGUGUAGAGGACAUGAAGGAAGGCAAAUCCCAGUGCCACCAAGCCAAGCUGCUUUCUGCAGAGCAUCCACUGGUCAAGCCAGUCUGGGAAUCGGCGGUAUUUUGUCCCUCGGUACAGUUGCAGAAUGGCAGCAAUAACACCAGGGAGGUAAACCAAGGCAAGCAAUGUAAGUGCUGCUAUCGGAAAGAUCCGAUUUGGAAUGGAAAUAGCCAAGCGAAAUGUGCUGUCUUGAUUGCCAUUAGCGUAAGGGUAGAGUACGUCUCUUAUAACGCAGUAGCAAAAGAAGAAGACACACAGAAUAGCAGACAAAUAGAAGGGGAGCUUCCACAUUGGAAAUAGUUGCAGGGGGUAGUUUUCAAUUUCUUUGGCUGCCAGGAGAGAUCCUUGAUCCAGUGGAGUAAGUCCAAGAGUACGAACAACAUCUAUCACUCUUUGCUUGGCUUUGCUGUCGUUUCCACAGACAAACACCUGGGUUAAGAAUAAUCAAUUAAUAAAUAAUGAAAUAAUAUUUACUCUUUACUUUGGGCAUUACUUUGAAAGUCUGUGUAAGCACCAUGCCAAACAAGAAAAUAAGAACAUGCUUUUCAGACAAGGGCAUGGACACAGUAUGUUUUAAACUUGGACAAAUGUGCUAGAUGGUUAAGUACUAGGGUUCAAGUUGAGAGUGGUUCUAAGCAUAUCACACUGAUACCAUAGGACUUGGUUCUCCACAGGGUGAAUGGUUUUUCUUCUGUAUUCAUGGGUGCUAGAACACUUACAGAUUAUGUUUAAUCUCCAUGAAUAAAUGGAAUCAGUUUCAUAUAGUGUUAUAGGAAUGGAAAGGUUAUCCAUCAACAGUGUUAUUUUUUAGUACGUGCAUGGAACCUGACGUCAUUGGAUUCCAUCAAACUAGAAACUGAGAGUGCUGACAAUGAGGAAUAAAUCACAACAUCGACGACUUUACUUGGUUAAACCCAAGAAAAUUAUCUGCAGCACAUAUUAGCAAAUGGAAAUGUUUAGUUGGUGUUUUAUUUUGGAAUUCUGUUUUGGCAUCUUUGAGACCUCAGUUCUGUAACAGGAAGCAUAACAAGAGUACCUCUGGACUGGAAAAUCUCCAGGACCGAUUUUGCGUCUCCUAGAGAGGCUGGUGGAGACUGUGGGGCCAACACAGAGACCCUAUUCAUCAUUCCUCUUAGUAAGAAGAACAGGAAUCAACAACCCAACCAUGCCACUUCUGAACGAUCUCAGUGCAUCUGUUGGGAUAAAUGAAGACUGUAUUCUGAUUUCCUGGCCAAGAAUUUUAUCAUGGGCUGUUUUCUGUGCAGUCUCAGGUCUCGACCACUCCUCCCCCUUCUCCAAGGCCUCUCCUUACAGUGCAUCACACAUCAUCAAAGGCGGCCGGCUCUCGAGAUGAAUAAAUGAAAAUUUGAAAAAAAGACUUAAAAGAAGUCACUGAGAAAAGUUCGAAUCUACGGAAGUCAGUCACAACUGCUUGCUUCUGAGUUUCAGAGUCUAAUAUCCUCAAGGUCUUGUCUCUCCAUCCUGCAACCCAGCUUGGGAUUACUCUUACCAGUUCUCACUGCCAUCUUGCUUGGGUUGCAGCCACUAGAACCACCUGGCUUUCUACUGCAGAGACCGUCCGUCUUCCUAAAGGCUCAAGGCCCUCAUCACCUGAUCCCAUAGCAGCAAAGAUGGCCUUUGAGCAUUCAUCAGUCUUACCUACAAUGUGUGUGGAUAGAAAGGACUAUGCAGGGACUCUACAUACUGUACCAUCUAUCAAAAGAUCAAGACUGGCAAUUGGAACACUGAGUUCUAUUCUUGGACUUGCCCUUAUCUUGCUAAUACUGAGGCCCUCGCUGUGGAUGGAUCAGCAUCCUUCAGAUGGAACAUACUAGAGUCCAACUCUUUUUCUGGAAUGAGGCUACCUGCCUAUGAACCUGGAAGCAGUGAUUUGUUUUUGAAAGAUGCUUAUGGACAUCACACAAUCCCAUUUUACCAAGGCGCUCGUACAGGUGCGUUCUCCAACUCCUCUUCUGAUUUCUAUUACAAUGACCCUGGGUUAUCCUUUAGGUUAAGCAAUUUCUUGUGCCAUGGCAGCAGGUCAAAUUGUAAACUCAGUUUUGAAAAAACUCAGAGAAAGAUAAAUGUGAUGUGAUUUCACUUAUAAGCAGAAUUUAAGAAACAAAACAAACGAACACAGAAAAAAGAAAAACCACACUGUUAACU